RNAcentral lists this ribosomal RNA (119 nucleotides) under Pteropus alecto (black flying fox). Lineage: Eukaryota; Metazoa; Chordata; Mammalia; Chiroptera; Pteropodidae. The record is from RNAcentral.
GUCUAUAGCCAUGCCAACCCGAACAAGCCCGAUCCCAUCUGAUCUCAGAAGCUAAGCAGGGUUGGGCCUGGUUAGUACUUGGAUGGGAGACCACCUAGGAAGACCAGGUGCUGUACGCG